GAUGAACGCUGGCGGCGUGCCUAAUACAUGCAAGUCGAGCGAACAGACGAGAGUGCUUGCACUCUCUGACGUUAGCGGCGGACGUGUGAGUAACACGUGGGUAACCUACCUAUAAGACUGGGAUAACUUCGGGAAACCGGAGCUAAUACCGGAUAAUAUUUAGCUUCGCAUGUAGCAAUAGUGAAAGACGGUUCUGCUGUCACUUAUAGAUGGACCCGCGGUGUAUUAGCUAGUUGGUGAGGUAACGGCUCACCAAGGCAACGAUACAUAGCCGACCUGAGAGGGUGAUCGGCCACACUGGGACUGAGACACGGCCCAGACUCCUACGGGAGGCAGCAGUAGGGAAUCUUCCGCAAUGGACGAAAGUCUGACGGAGCAAUGCCGCGUGAGUGAAGAAGGUUUUCGGAUCGUAAAACUCUGUUGUAAGGGAAGAACAAGUACGUUAGUAACUGAACGUACCUUGACGGUACCUUACCAGAAAGCCACGGCUAACUACGUG
This 499-nucleotide ribosomal RNA is filed under the name uncultured bacterium. RNAcentral's name for it is "partial 16S ribosomal RNA". It matches the Rfam family "Bacterial small subunit ribosomal RNA", at positions 28 to 507 of the family's 1533-position model. The record is from RNAcentral.